UUUAAUGGAGAGGAAUCCAGCCACGGUUUCAGGUUCUGUUUUCCACAGGCUUUUCCCAUGCUGGGUUGCUGUGUGAUGCGACCACUAGAGAGCAGGCUUAACCUAGUAACAAGAGCUAAUUAGUUCUUGGCCUCUUCAUUUGCAGCUCUUCCCCAGCCCCCUUCCACCUUUCCGUCUAGGCAGAGGCGACUUCCAUGGUUCUUAGCUUUGCCUCCAACGCUGUGCAAUCUUAGGGCUAAUUAAAACUGCCACAGACGGCCUGAACCCCGCAUUAAAAUUUGAUGAGGAAUUGAUCAGCCAAGCAAACAGGAAAUUUAGCUGUGUGAGUGAAGAGCAGUGUAGGCACAAGGAAACCCCAAGCUGCAUCAGUCAAAGGUCUGAAGACUUAGAAUGAGCUCUUUUGGGUAGAUAUCACCUUCAGACCUGUAUCUGCAGGGCACUUCUGUUGAGAACUCUCCUCAUCCUCUGGCAGGAGCUCAGCCUGACCCUGGAAGCUCUUCCCAAAGCAGAGCAUUCCCAUCCAGAUUUGGCUUUCAAGCCCAGCACAUCAGCUGGUCCCAGCUCUGCACCAUCCCAGAUUUUCCU
This is a long non-coding RNA of Passer domesticus (house sparrow), 585 nucleotides long. RefSeq lists it as uncharacterized. The transcript is spliced from 3 exons. Lineage: Eukaryota; Metazoa; Chordata; Aves; Passeriformes; Passeridae. The record is from RefSeq and is a predicted model, not a curated record.